Molecule: ribosomal RNA, 468 nt
Filed under: uncultured bacterium
Lineage: Bacteria
Description: partial 16S ribosomal RNA
Rfam family: Bacterial small subunit ribosomal RNA
Source: RNAcentral
GACGAACGCUGGCGGCGUGCUUAACACAUGCAAGUCGAACGGUGAAGCUCCAGCUUGCUGGAGUGGAUCAGUGGCGAACGGGUGAGUAACACGUGAGCAACCUGCCCCUGACUCUGGAAUAAGCGCUGGAAACGGCGUCUAAUACUGGAUACGAGAAGGGUCCGCAUGGGCACUUUCUGGAAAGUUUUUCGGUUGGGGAUGGGCUCGCGGCCUAUCAGCUUGUUGGUGAGGUAAUGGCUCACCAAGGCGACGACGGGUAGCCGGCCUGAGAGGGCGACCGGCCGCACUGGGACUGAGACACGGCCCAGACUCCUACGGGAGGCAGCAGUGGGGAAUAUUGCACAAUGGGCGAAAGCCUGAUGCAGCGACGCCGCGUGAGGGAUGACGGCCUUCGGGUUGUAAACCUCUUUCAGCAGGGAAGAAGCGAAAGUGACGGUACCUGCAGAAGAAGCACCGGCUAACUACGUG